RNAcentral lists this ribosomal RNA (357 nucleotides) under uncultured bacterium. RNAcentral's name for it is "partial 16S ribosomal RNA". It matches the Rfam family "Bacterial small subunit ribosomal RNA", at positions 338 to 693 of the family's 1533-position model. The record is from RNAcentral.
ACUACGGGUGGCAGCAGUGAGGAAUAUUGGUCAAUGGGCGAGAGCCUGAACCAGCCAAGUCGCGUGAGGGAAGACGGUCCUAUGGAUUGUAAACCUCUUUUGCCGGGGAGCAAAAAGCGGUACGCGUACAGCAUCGAGAGUACCCGGAGAAAAAGCAUCGGCUAACUCCGUGCCAGCAGCCGCGGUAAUACGGAGGAUGCGAGCGUUAUCCGGAUUUAUUGGGUUUAAAGGGUGCGCAGGCGGGGAGUAAAGUCAGAGGGAAAAUUUUGGGGCUAAACCCAGAAAAGCCGUUGAAACUGGGUGGCUAGAGUGGGCUAGAAGUAUGCGGAAUGCGUGGUGGAGCGGUGAAAUGCAUAG